AACGAACGCUGGCGGCAGGCCUAACACAUGCAAGUCGAGCGAGGACUUCGGUCCUAGCGGCGGACGGGUGAGUAACGCGUGGGAACGUGCCCUUUGCUUCGGAAUAGCCCUGGGAAACUGGGAGUAAUACCGGAUGAGCCCUUUGGGGGAAAGAUUUAUCGGCGAAGGAUCGGCCCGCGUUGGAUUAGGUAGUUGGUGGGGUAAUGGCCUACCAAGCCGACGAUCCAUAGCUGGUUUGAGAGGAUGAUCAGCCACACUGGGACUGAGACACGGCCCAGACUCCUACGGGAGGCAGCAGGGGGGAAUCUUAGACAAUGGGGGAAACCCUGAUCUAGCCAUGCCGCGUGAGCGAUGAAGGCCUUAGGGUUGUAAAGCUCUUUCAGCUGGGAAGAUAAUGACGGUACCAGCAGAAGAAGCCCCGGCUAACUCCGUG
Molecule: ribosomal RNA, 433 nt
Filed under: uncultured bacterium
Lineage: Bacteria
Description: partial 16S ribosomal RNA
Rfam family: Bacterial small subunit ribosomal RNA
Source: RNAcentral